This 794-nucleotide long non-coding RNA is filed under the name Zalophus californianus (California sea lion). RNAcentral describes it as "lncRNA (ENSZCAG00015016862.1)". The record is from RNAcentral. Lineage: Eukaryota; Metazoa; Chordata; Mammalia; Carnivora; Otariidae.
GUUUAGUGUUGUUAUUUGACUUGGAAAUAUCCCAAUGGGCUGAUCUACUCUGAAAUACAUGUCAAGAUUCACUUGAAUAUCCCAGUCAACUCAUACCUUUAAUUUACUUUUAGACUUGGAGUUUGUGUAUAGUAAGUACUCAGUCAAUCGCCAUUGAAUGAAGGGGGUGAAUGAAAUCACUCGUAAGGAAAACGCAUGCUGUAAAAACCAAAGCAUCGCAUCAUGUAAAUUCCCAACAUCUGCUGACCCAUCAGAAGAAGGAUGACAGAGAAGUAGAAUGGUUCUUAAAUAUUAACAGAUCCAGCCAUUGGGAUUGAGGAACUUGGGAAGGAAAACAGUUUCAACAAUGAAUAGGUCACCCAUCAUGACUGACUACAGAUGACUUGCCAUUUCAUUUACAAAGGGGUGUCCUACAAAGUAAAAAAAAAAAGAGAGAGAGACCAUCUCAUCCUAUGUCCUGCAUUCAUGCCAGCUAGCCAACCCCUCACUAAGGUGGUUUCUUCAAACACCCUUCAAAGUCGCUCUUGAAGUUUUUUGGAUUUCAAAGCUUCCAAGUCUUAGAGGUAAAAUGACUGACACGGCAUUUGUUAGUCCACAGUUGGUUAAAGAAAAUCCACCUCUUACUGUCAUUAGCACAUACUAAGUUGGAGACACAAACGUACCCUAGUAGAGAAAUGGGCUAGAGCUUCAUAUAGAUAAUUCACCAAAGAGAUGCAAAGAACCAAAGAAACGUGACAAAGAUGUCUGUCCUUACCAUGAAUCAUACAAAUGCAAAAUAAAAUGAUAUUUUUGCC